CCAAUAGCGUAUAUUAAAGUUGUUGCAGUUAAAAAGCUCGUAGUUGAAUUUCGGGAUCAAUAUAUCGGUCAUGCUUAGGUAUGUACUGGUAUUAUUGAUUUCUCCCUUCUGAAGAACCAUAAUGUCAUUAAUUUGAUGUCAUGGGGAAUCAGGACUGUUACUUUGAAAAAAUUAGAGUGUUUAAAGCAGGCUUUCGCUUGAAUACAUUAGCAUGGAAUAAUGAAAUAGGACGUUUGAUUCUAUUUUGUUGGUUUCUAGGAUCGACGUAAUGAUUAAUAGGGAUAGUUGGGGGCAUUAGUAUUCAAUUGUCAGAGGUGAAAUUCUUGGAUUUAUUGAAGACUAACUACUGCGAAAGCAUUUGCCAAGGAUGUUUUCAUUAAUCAAGAACGAAAGUUAGGGGAUCGAAGACGAUCAGAUACCGUCGUAGUCUUAACCAUAAACUAUGCCGACUAGGGAUCGGAUGAUGUUAAUUUUUUAAUGACUCAUUCGGCGCCUUACG
This 499-nucleotide ribosomal RNA is filed under the name uncultured Glomeromycotina. RNAcentral's name for it is "partial small subunit ribosomal RNA". It matches the Rfam family "Eukaryotic small subunit ribosomal RNA", at positions 591 to 1092 of the family's 1831-position model. The record is from RNAcentral. Lineage: Eukaryota; Fungi; Glomeromycota.